UGGAGCAUGUGGUUUAAUUCGACGCAACGCGAAGAACCUUACCAGGUCUUGACAUCCCGAUGCUAUUCUAGAGAUAGAAAGUUACUUCGGUACAUCGGUGACAGGUGGUGCAUGGUUGUCGUCAGCUCGUGUCGUGAGAUGUUGGGUUAAGUCCCGCAACGAGCGCAACCCCUAUUGUUAGUUGCCAUCAUUCAGUUGGGCACUCUAGCGAGACUGCCGGUAAUAAACCGGAGGAAGGUGGGGAUGACGUCAAAUCAUCAUGCCCCUUAUGACCUGGGCUACACACGUGCUACAAUGGUUGGUACAACGAGUUGCGAGUCGGUGACGGCGAGCUAAUCUCUUAAAGCCAAUCUCAGUUCGGAUUGUAGGCUGCAACUCGCCUACAUGAAGUCGGAAUCGCUAGUAAUCGCGGAUCAGCACGCCGCGGUGAAUACGUUCCCGGGCCUU
RNAcentral lists this ribosomal RNA (447 nucleotides) under uncultured Streptococcus sp. Its description in RNAcentral is "bacterial SSU rRNA". It matches the Rfam family "Bacterial small subunit ribosomal RNA", at positions 933 to 1382 of the family's 1533-position model. Lineage: Bacteria; Bacillati; Bacillota; Bacilli; Lactobacillales; Streptococcaceae. The record is from RNAcentral.